AUUGAACGCUGGCGGCAGGCCUAACACAUGCAAGUCGAACGGUAACAGGAAACAGCUUGCUGUUUCGCUGACGAGUGGCGGACGGGUGAGUAAUGUCUGGGAAACUGCCUGAUGGAGGGGGAUAACUACUGGAAACGGUAGCUAAUACCGCAUAACGUCGCAAGACCAAAGAGGGGGACCUUCGGGCCUCUUGCCAUCGUAUGUGCCCAGAUGGGAUUAGCUAGUAGGUGGGGUAACGGCUCACCUAGGCGACGAUCCCUAGCUGGUCUGAGAGGAUGACCAGCCACACUGGAACUGAGACACGGUCCAGACUCCUACGGGAGGCAGCAGUGGGAAUAUUGCACAAUGGGCGCAAGCCUGAUGCAGCCAUGCCGCGUGUAUGAAGAAGGCCUUCGGGUUGUAAAGUACUUUCAGCGGGGAGGAAGGGAGUAAAGUUAAUACCUUUGCUCAUUGACGUUACCCGCAGAAGAAGCACCGGCUAACUCCGUGCCAGCCGCCGCCGUAA
This 505-nucleotide ribosomal RNA is filed under the name uncultured bacterium. Its description in RNAcentral is "partial 16S ribosomal RNA". It matches the Rfam family "Bacterial small subunit ribosomal RNA", at positions 30 to 523 of the family's 1533-position model. The record is from RNAcentral.